Molecule: non-coding RNA, 1890 nt
Organism: Paramisgurnus dabryanus
Lineage: Eukaryota; Metazoa; Chordata; Actinopteri; Cypriniformes; Cobitidae
Source: RefSeq, a predicted model, not a curated record
CCUCAAGUUCACGUCAGGUAAGUGUUUGUAAAUAAAUGUUAAUUUUAGACUAUAUUAAUUGGCAAAGACGCAAAUACUCGACGUUUUUGUAAAGAUAUAAGUUAUAUAAAGGUGUGUUAUGUUAUGUGUCCAAGUUAAAGUGGAGCUAUUUUAAUUAAGAUUACCGGACAGGGUUUAUUACUCCGUCUUAAUUAUAAUUGGGACAUUUUUACAAACAAACCUUAUAAAAUACAAUACUGGCGUGCAUUUUGAGACAAAACAAUAGCACUCAUAUGUUAAGAGAUGUCAGUAUUUUAGUCAGUGAUAAGUCCUGUCCGAGAAAACCGCCCAAUAGUGUUUAAUUCAAUUACGUGUGACGUCUGAGGGAAAUUUGGCAAUUUUAGGGUAUAAAGUCUUUCACCGUCAAGCUUUAUUAUAUUAAACAUGUAUUUAUGUAUGUGUGUGUGUGUGUAUUUAUAUUCCUCUGUUUAUCAAACCAGAGCGGUGAUGAUGUGGAGAGAGGCAGACCAGAGAUACAUGGUGAAAGAAGUUCUCCUUAAUGGCCCUGCAGAUGUUCUGACUGACUUUGGAGUGCUUUUUGGACUGUUUAAUGCUCUCUAUUUAAAGAAGAUUUAAUUCUGUAUGUUCAGUCUGUAUGAUAAGUGAAUAAAGCUUCUGUUUUUAUGUGACUGAAGUUAAUUAUUUGUUAACAACACCAGCAUACACUGUAAAAAAUCCAAUUAAUGAAAUGUUGGAAGGGCAAAAAUAUAUAAGUUGAACCAAUUUUCUUGUUUGGGCUUAGUUGAGUAGACAUAUUAUUUUAAGUCUAGAUAAAUCUGUGUUUAAAACAUUAAGUGAAUGGUUAUUUCCAAAUUCAGUCAACAUUCAGAAUGGCUAUGUUGACUGAACUAAUUAAGACAAAUCUGGUCAAUAUGUGGACUUAUGACAGCUAUGUUUCCUGACAACAAAAUGCUCAUAAUAUUACUGUUAUUUGGUAACAAAAUGUAAUUUUAAGAUUUGUUCAGGCGUGAAUGUAUGUGCUUUAAGUUUAAAUAUGCGGUCGGUUAAUAUAGAUAGCGUCUAUUUAAAAAUGUGCUCGGAACAUUUCGGACGGAGAAGAGCUCCAGAUGAGCUCCAGAAAAUCACAGACACUUAAGCGCUCACACCCCGCCCAGCGCAGCCUCGCCUCGGCAAGCCCAUCAGAAAUCGACUGCUGGCUCUGAUAUCUCUGUGGCGUUUAAACAUGCGAUUUAAUUCAUUUUAAUUUCUUAUACUUAAUAAUAAAAGGUUUACCGGUAUGUUUUAAAUCAUAUUUUAGGAUUACACUUAAAUGAUAUCGCUGUUGAAUGAUAUUUCAUAUCUUUCACAUUUGUUAUAACUGGGCUGCGUACUGCCUGCGAAUUUGAACUUCAGAGCUGAAGGUGCGAGUGGAGAAAUAGUCCCAAUAUCAUAACAAUCUUAAAACUUCUAAAUAUACCCGUGUGUGUACCCGUGUGCGUGCGUGUGUGCGCUCGCGCGUGUACAUGUAUGUAUGUAUGUAUGCGCGUGCGUCUGUGUAUUUUGAAUUUAAAAUGUUUUAACUCGGAAGGAUCUGGAUCACAGGUCAUUUCAUCUGAGAUCAAUCCGCACGCAACAGCUGGAAUCACUUACUGAUUCACACAAGGAAGGACACAAGUCAGCCGUUUCCUCAAGUUCACGUCAGAGCGGAGAUGAUGUGAGAGGCAGACCCGAGACAUAGCGAGACAGUCUCCGCUUGGACUGGCUGAGGAAAGUCUCCUAAAUGGCCCUGGAGAUGUUCUGACUGACUUUGGAGGCUUUUUGGACUGUUUUAUGCCCUCUAUUUAAAGAAGACUUAAUUCUGUAUGUUCAGUCUGUAUGAUAAGUGAAUAAAAAGCUUUUGUUUUUAUGUGA